RNAcentral lists this ribosomal RNA (397 nucleotides) under uncultured bacterium. RNAcentral describes it as "partial 16S ribosomal RNA". It matches the Rfam family "Bacterial small subunit ribosomal RNA", at positions 338 to 733 of the family's 1533-position model. The record is from RNAcentral.
CCUACGGGUGGCUGCAGUGAGGAAUAUUGGUCAAUGGGCGGGAGCCUGAACCAGCCAAGUCGCGUGAAGGAAGACGGUACUUAGUAUUGUAAACUUCUUUUGUCGGGGAACAAAGCCGGAGACGCGUCUCCGGCUGAGUGUACCCGAAGAAUAAGCAUCGGCUAACUCCGUGCCAGCAGCCGCGGUAAUACGGGGGAUGCGAGCGUUAUCCGGAUUUAUUGGGUUUAAAGGGUGCGCAGGCGGUAGAUCAAGUCAGCGGUAAAAUGUCGGGGCUCAACCCCGGCCGGCCGUUGAAACUGGUGUUCGAGAGUUGGAGAGAGGUAUGCGGAAUGCGUGGUGUAGCGGUGAAAUGCAUAGAUAUCACGAAGAACUCCGAUUGCGAAGGCAGCAUACCGGC